CUUGAGACGGUGGUGGAAGGUGUAUUAAUGCAAUAAAAUUAGUAUCAUAGAGAAAAUAUAGAAGGAAGUCGAACUUACAGAGUGUGGAAAUAACAUUAGGGGAAAUGAUGCAUAAGGCAUAUUGAGGUAUAAGGUAUACUGAGGUAAAAGUGAUAAUGGAGUAUCAGUGAUAAUGAGGUAUAAGGGUGUAAGGGAUGCUGUGGUAUUAGUUAUAAUAAAGUAUAAAGGCUAAUGAGCAGUAAGGAAUCGCGAGGUGUAAGGGGUAAUGAGGUGUAAGAGAUAAUGAAGUUUAAGGGAUAAUGAGAUGUAACUGAUAUUUAGGAAUAAGGUAUAGUGAGGUGUUGGGGAUUCGGUGUAAGAGGAUCAUUUGAUGUAUAAAUGCUGACGUAUAAAGGAAAAUGAGGCAUAAAAUUUGAGAUACAAGAACUUUAUCAUAUGCACAAACUCCGAUUGAAACGAGUCACUCAAAACUAUACAUAACUGUUAGAGAUUUCCUCACCGCCACUCAGCAGCCCGAUGCGCGACAGCAUGCUCUUCCAGGUUUUGACAUUGUCUCUGUUUACCGUUACACGUGUGUUUGUUAUGAUUUAUGUCAUGUCUCCGCCCCUGUCAUGUUAUUGUUGUCUCCUUAUGUAUCUCAGCUUUUUAUGUUUUAACCCCUCGUGUGUCUUUGUUCAUUCCGAUGUAUUGCGUUUCUGUGGCUAUGUCCAGAGCCAUACCAAGCCUCCAUUCCACGUUCACUGAUUUCAUGGUUUGUGAUCCUGUUUACGUCUCACGUUUAUUGAUUCUUGACUUGCCUAGUUCGUGUUCUUUGUAGAUCGCUUGACCCACGCCGGUCCUCUGACUACAUUCUUUCUGAUUGUUUUGGAUUUUGUCUGCCUGCCUCAUAAUAAAUCAGCUCUCAACUACACUUGCAUUAUCCUUGCAAACGUGACAGUAAAUAAUCUUAUUAUUUAAACACUUUCCAUGGUUUAUACAAAUAAAAACUAUGUAUACUUGUUAAGUUCUUUGUCGGAUAGCAGUCAGAACCAAAAUUUGAACCCUGCUCUGGCUGAUUUCCUCUCGUCUGGUACCAGGAAGAAGUCACACCGACACCAUAGUUCAGUGGGGGAAAUAAGUAUUAGACGCGUAAACAUUUUUCUCAGUAAAUAUAUUUCCAAUGAGGUUAUUCACAUGACAUUUUCACCAGACAUCAAUAUUAACUCAAGAAAUCUACACAUAUAAAGAAUUAAUUCUUCCUUCAAAAAAAUUCUCACCAGAGUCAUGGGAUGGUCACACUAGGCUUUAGCACACAAACUCAUCCUGUGUUUGGAGAAGCUCUCCUCAUUUACUGACAGAUGUCCUGCUGGUGGAGGACAAAACUGAUGGAGAACUUUUACCAGUAGCAGCACCUUCUGAGACAGUGUGUCAGAGAGUUGUUCUUAAUGAACUUGUUCAUCUCAGGCAUUUCUUCAUGUCAGGAAUUUGUUUGUAAAUUAUUAGUUUGACUAAAAAGUUUGACUUGUUAAAGGCUUGAGCUCGUCAGCCAUAUGUAUGGAAAUGUAUUUGACAUUAUACUUCAAAAAUUAAUGUUACAAUGUUUUGCUAGUAUGUAACAUUAAAAGAAAUAUUUGCAACUGUUUGCAUUAGUGAUGUCUGUUUUUUCAUUACUUUAUUAAAACCCAUUAUUAUUUAGUAGGUACAUUUACAAAUAAACUAUUUUAAAGGCAUCUAUAACACAUAAUAAACACAUCUUCACGAUUUCUUAACAUUGGCAUUAUGGAAACUGCAUUCUAUGCUUUCACUUUACUUAAAGCUACCAAUGAUGCAUUUAUAAAAGGUUAGUAAUUGUAUUAUCACUUACUAAUAAUUAUUUAUAAGGCAGCACAACAUAACUAUCAACAACAAUAUAAAAUAAUUCACUUAUUAAACCUGUAAAUAAAUCUGCAUUACUAAUAAGUCAUUAUAACUAUAAUAUGAUAACAUUAUAAAAAAUUACAUACAUUUCGAGCAUACAUUACCUACUUUCACCUGAAAAUAGUUUCACCUCUGGCUUGCUCAUUAGAGAUGUGAACGUACAUCUGGAUUUCUGUAAAGCUGUUUGUGACAAUGUGUAUUUUUAAAACAGCAAUGCAAAUAAAAUAAAAAUAAAAUUAAGGAACCUCUAGCCAGUGAUCAACACAAAGCUAGUAGAGUGAGAAACUUGUCACCUUCAGAUUCGAUAUAGAAUACUGACUCCGUGUGCAUGCUGACACUUAUCUCCUUCUCUCCAAAUCAUUUUCAGCUCCUGUUGAACACAAACAGCAGAUUUAGCACUGAGGGUGGUUUUGUUUUUCAUCAUGGCAUGUCAUUUUCCCUGGAUGUUCAGGCCUGCACUUUUCAUACUCUUUAUAAAUGCUAAUCACGUUCUCCUUGGAUUUGCAAUCCAUUAAGUUAAACUAUCAGGUUUAUUUAUUCUGAUUUACUUCUUUCUAAACACAAUUCUAAGUAUUAGUAUUAUCAAUUCUUGUUUGAUUAAAAUAAUGAAUUGUGUCCAUCAGUUUAUUGUGUGAUUCUGUUGCCAUUUGUUGAUUGUAGACUUAAUGAUGCUAUUUACUCAGAUCAAUUUGAUAAAAUAAAACAAAACCUGACCCAGUCGUCUAGCCAUCACAGUUUCUCCCUUGUCAAAGUCGCUCAGAUCCAUACGCUUUAAUUCUUCUCUUUGUCAAAGAAAUUUCUUUUACAAAAUGUGGAGCCCUCAUGCCAUGUGUUUGGGGUGGAGUCAUCCUGGAAGUGGCCACACCCAUCAUAGGAUCAACUUUGUACUGAUUUGCAGUAAUGCUUGCCUUUAAGGGGGUAAGUGGAGCUACACCAUGUGAUCAAAACUAAAUUCCCCCCACAGCAUUACAGAGUCACUGUUUUUUUUCUUUUGUCACCCAAAAGAAACCCAUUGUACAUUUUAGAUGGGGUUAUAGCUCCAUCCAAAACUAUUAUAGAACUAUGGUGUGGGGAUGGGUGAGGUGUGAUGCACUGUUGGGCUUGAAGGCAAGCUUCAUUAUUUUUAAAUCUGACAGAGGUGCCUUUCACAAGCCAGUGAAGAAAUCACAAUGUGGAGGGACAUGGGUGAAGCUAAAAAGACGGCAGGAAAGGUUUGCAAUAACCACAGUUUGUACUACAGCCUACUAGCUAAUAGUUAGGGUUAUCAUUAGUAUAAUGAGUCUUUAUUGAUCACAUAUACUAUACUAUUAGCACAGUGAAAUUCUUUUCUUCCCAUACCCCAGCAUAUCAGGAAGUUGGGGUCAGAGUGCAGGGUCAGCCAUGAUACAGCUGGAACAGAGAGGGUUAAGCGGCUUGCCCAACAGUGGCAGCUUGGCUGGGGCUUGAACCCCCGAUCAGUAACCCAGAGCCUUAACCACUAAGCCACCACUGCUCCUAUGGCUAACACUAUGGGAAUUCUGUCCCUGUGGUGGAAUCCCAACCCUGCCAAAAUAAUAACUAAAUAAAUAAAUGAAUCUACAAAGAAAUAUAAAAAAGCAAAAGGAAAUGAGCAUUUACUCUUUUAUUUCCUUAUUUAUGUAUUAUUGUAUUUUCCCCACAUUUAUUUAUUCAUUCAUUUAUUUAUUCAUACAUACAGUGGAGGAAAUAAGUAUUGAACACGUCAAAAAAAAAUUCAGUAAAUAUAUUUCCAAUGAGGUUACUCACAUGAAAUUUUCACCAGACAUCAGUAUUAACUCAAGAAAUCCACAAAUAUAAAGAAUUCACAACAUUAAAGUCCGUGAAUGACGUUAUGUGUAAUAAAGAGGAAUGAUACGGGAAAAAAGUAUUGAACACGCUAACUGAAAUGUAUUUAAUACUUAGUGGAGAAGCCUUUGUUUGUAAUUACAGCUUCAAGACGCUUCCUGUAUGAAGAAAUUAAGGUGCCACAGUAUUCAGGUGUCACGAUUUCCCCUCGCACAACGCUGGAGCAUGCUGCACGGUUCCGGGUUUGUCAGUGACACUGACUUUGUUUACUUUUGACACUUGUGUUUUGUUGUGAUUUUUGUUCUGUCUCCGCCCUUGUAUUGUCAUUGGUUGUUUCCCUUAUGUGCCAGCAUUGUUCUUAGCUGUUUUGUGUUUCACCCCGAUUACAUUCGUUAUUUAAAGCCUUUGUGUAUCUAUGUACGGAGCGAAGUGCCAAGCCGUGGUUCGUGGGUUUUGAGCUUGCAUCUAGUUUCUCAUUUUGUGGUUUGCCGUGCCUAGUUUAUGCCCAUUUGCCGAUCGCCCAACCCAUUGCCUGUUUUUGACCAUGCUACUGUCUCACGUUUUGGAUUUGUAUGUCUAUCUCUACUCCAAUAAAGCUCUUAUCUGCAAUUGCAUCCAUCCUGACCUCCACAACAUUCCGUUACAUGACAUCAGGUGUGAUUUUGGCCCAUUCUUCUAAACAGAUUGUCUUUAAAUCUUGCUCAAUUGGAUUCGAGUCAGGUGAUUGACUGGGUCGUUCGAACACCUUGAUUUUUUUUCUCUGAAACCAACUGAGAGUUUCCUUUGCUGUAUGCUUUGCAUCGUUGUCCUGCUGGAAGCUCCACCCACGUCUCAUCUUCAUCAUCCUGGUGGAUGGCAGCAGAUUCUUCUCAAGAAUCUCCCGGUAAAGGGCUUCAUUCAUCGUUCCUUCAGUUAUAUGAAGUCUGCAAGUACCAUGUGAUGAAAAACAGCCCCACACCAUGAUGCUUCUAUCUCCACACUUCACUGUUGAUUGUGUUUUUAGGGAGAUGUGCAGUGCUAUUUUAUUCUCCAAACAUGGUGUGUAGUAUGACAACCAAAAAGUUAAAUUUUGCUCUCGUCUGACCAGACUACACUCUCCCAGUAUUUCACUGGCUUGUCCAAAUGAGUUGUAGCAAACUUUAAACGAGCUUCGACAUGCCUUUUCUUUAGUUAUGGAGUCUUGCAGGUGAGCGUGAACAGUGGAGUGCAUUGCCUAUUGUUUUCUCUGUGACGAUGGCACCUGCUGCCUCCAAGUGUUUCUGGAGCUCUUUCUGAGUGGUCCUUGGCUCUUGGGCUACUCUUCUGACUAUUCUUCUGACUCCCUGGUCAGAAAUCUUGCGAGGAGCUCCUGUGCUUGGCCAGUUGAUGACGGAGUGAUGUUGCUUCCGCUUGUGGAUAACGGCCCCAAUAGUGCUUACUGGAGGAUUCAGAAGUUUUGAAAUACGUCUGUAUCCGAUUCCAUCAAUAUGUUUCACAACAAUAAGGUUGUGAAGGUCUUGGGAGAGCUCUUUGCAUUUACCCAUCAUGAGAUGUUUCUUGUGUGACACAAGGUGGUUACAAAAAGCCUUUUUAAUAGACCAUCAAUUUACUAACCCAGCUGUUAUUAAUUUGCACAGAUAGGGGGUAUACUUACUUUCUAAAUACUUAUGGAUUUCAGCUGGUUCCUUGCCUUACCUGACCUUGGAGAACUGCUUUCUGUCAUGACUUGAGGGUUGAGACAGAUCCAGGUGCAGAAUUUAAGGUUUUAAUAAAUAAGCAAACAAAAUACAAAAGACACUAUGACUAUGAAAACAUUGUGGCAAGACGAAAGAGAAACUAAAGAACAUAAACAUGGCAACAGAGACAAAGGCAUAGAAAGACUAACGUGAGACAAAGAAAGCAGUGCAAACUGUGGCUAUAUACACAAGUGCUCAUUAACAAGAAAGUGAUUCAGGUGCAGGUGGUCAUUUGACUGAUGAGUAAGGUGCAGUGGCUGCUGGGAACUGAAGUCCAGAGUUCCUUCUCUGAUACAUGACACUUUUUCUUAACAUGUUCAAUUCGUUUUUCCUGUGUCAUUUCACUUUAUUACACAUAACUUUAUUUAUGGACUUUAAUGUUGUGAAUUUUUUAUAUUUGCAGAUUUCUUGACCUUUAUUUAACUGUGAAUUUUUUAUAUUUCCAGAUUUCAUGACCCAUCUGUUGCAUUUACUUUUGUCGUACCACAAGCUCUCACAGUGGCCUCAGAGCUUCGCCCUUGCCCCUGCCAGCACUCUGAUCAUGAUUGUUAUGUGUGAAAUAAAACAUGCCACCCCAUUACUGUGCAUGCUUUACUUCGGGUAAAAACCAUAUGAGGGCUUCCUGUGAAACCUAUUUUUAAAUGUUUUAUCACUCUUUACCAUUUAUAUACUCAGCAGACCCCCUGCUUUAAUUUACUCAGUUAUUUUCCACCAGCAUCAGCUACAGUAUGUUCUCCUGUACUCAUUCAUUUCUGCUGGUUCUUUUGGUGAUCACCUGCUUUCAUUCCUACACAGCAGGCAACGAUGAAUUCAUGACCCAGUUUUGUUUAAACAUGAAUACAGCUGAACACAUGGAUUCCUCAACAGUGCAAGGUAGAAAAAAUUCUACACACUUCUCUUAUUUAGCUACAAAGAGUCCAGUUCAGCAGGAUUACACAGAAGAACAACUACACACAGUGACAUCACAUGGAAUCGCAAAUGAUUCACAACAGCUCCGGGAAGCUCAGGAGGACCCAGACCCCAUCAGGGAAGGUCAGGAGGACCCAGACCCCAUCAGGGAAGGUCAGGAGGACCCAGACCCCAUCACGGAAGGUCAGGAGGACCCAGACCCCAUCAGGGACGCUCAGGAGGACCCAGAUCCCAUCAGGGAAGGUCAGGAGGAUCCACACCCUGUCAGGGAAGGUCAGGAGGACCCACACCCCUUCAGAAAAGGUCAGGAGGACCCACACCCCGUCAGGAAAUUUCAGGAGGACCCACACACCUUCUGGAAAGGUCAGGAGAAGGAGAUGUUUUAUGAUCUAGGAUUCUUCAUUCAGGUCACGAAAUCAGUUGUAGAAAUCUUAAUGUGCGUAAGAUGUCUAAUGGCCAGAAAUACCAUUUACUCAUUUGUGUGUGUGUGUGUGUGUGUGUGUGUGUGUGUGUGUGUGUGAAAUAUUUUCACUGCAUCAAAUGCGUGCUCGUUAAGAUACCAGCAGACAAAAGCUAAUCCAGCACAAAUGAAUGCAUAAAAAGGUCACCAAAAUGCAGUAUUUGAAUCUCAUAAUUAAAUACAUAAUGAGGGGGAAAAAUGCAAAAAAACCUCCACUUUUUGAAAGUAAGACA
This is a long non-coding RNA of Ictalurus punctatus (channel catfish), 7016 nucleotides long. RefSeq lists it as uncharacterized. NCBI's taxonomy places the organism in Eukaryota, Metazoa, Chordata, Actinopteri, Siluriformes, Ictaluridae. The record is from RefSeq and is a predicted model, not a curated record. The transcript is spliced from 3 exons.